RNAcentral lists this long non-coding RNA (5762 nucleotides) under Sus scrofa (pig). RNAcentral describes it as "lncRNA (ENSSSCG00050013853.1)". Lineage: Eukaryota; Metazoa; Chordata; Mammalia; Artiodactyla; Suidae. The record is from RNAcentral.
GGGCCGCACCCAUGGUAUAUGGAAGUUCCCAGGCUAGGGGUUAAACUGAAGCUGCAGCUGCUGGCCUACAUCAUAGCCACAGCAACUCAGGAUCCAUGGGGAGUCUGCGACCUACACCACAGCUCAUGGCAAUGCUGCAUUCCUGACCCACUGACGGAGGCCAGGGGUUAAACUCACAUCGUCAUGGAUACUAGGCGGGUUUGUUACCACUCAGCCACGCUGGGAACUCCUCUCUAUUUUUUACUGUAAAGUUUUUUUUUCUUUUUAGGGAUGCACCCAUGGCAUAUGGAAGUUCCCAGAUUAGGGGUAGAAUCAGAGCUAUAGCUGUCAGCCUACGCCACAGCAAUGCCAGAUCCAAGCCGUGUCUGCAACCUACACCAUCGCUCACAGCAAUGCUGGAUCCUUGACCCACUGAGCGAGGCCAGGGAUUGAAGCUUCCUCCUCAUGGAUACCAGUCAGGUUUGUACUGGCUUCGCCAGAAAGGGAGCUCCUGAUCGUGAAAAGUUUUUAUGAAGUUUUUAUGGAUUUAUAAAAUCCAUGCUCACUUAAAUAAAAAAGAACUAAGAAAUAUGCAAUGCAGACAAUGAAAUUCCCCCAAAUCUUUCCUUCCAAUUUCUCCAUAAAUGAUAAUUAUAAUAAAAAUAGCAUACACUUCCGUGGCACUUGUUAUGUGCCAAGCGCUCUAAGCGCUUUGUACUUGUUGGCUCAUUUAGCCCUUGCAACAUCCUUGUGAGGCAGGCACUGCUAGAGUCACCACUUCACAGAUGAAGAAGCUGAGGCACAGGAAGGUAUCGUGCCUCUGGUCACACAGCUAGUGGGCAGUAAGGCUGGGACUUGGACUCCAACAGAUUGGCUUCAAGUCUAUGCUCUUGACCACCCCUGAAAGCUGAGGGUAUAAUGCUCUGGCCCCUUUUCCCCAGGUGAACACAUCACGCACUCAUUUUUAUUUGUUUAUUUAUUUUUUGCUUUUUAGGGCUGUACCCACAGGAUAUGGAGGUUCCCAGGCUAGGGGUCAAAUUGGAGCUGCAGCUGCCGGCCUACACCACAGCCACAGAAAUGCAGGACCUGAGCCAUGUCUGUGACCUACACCACAGUUCACGGCAAUGCCAGAUCCUUAAUCCACUUAGUGAGGCCAGAGAUUGAAUCCACAACCUCAUGGUUCCUAGUUGGAUUUGUUUCUGCUGCACCACGACGGGAACUCCAUGCAUCCAUUUUUAAUUAUGGUAAAGGGGUUUCUUACACUGGACCCAUACUAUGGGUGACAGCUAUAGAAAUAAGUGGGUGAAGUCUUACUCCUGAGUAAGUUUCUCUCCAUAAUAAGCAGAGACAAGGAUAAACUUACUGUCUUACACCAGAGUGUGAAGAUGUGUUGAGAAACCAGAGAUUGUCAUCAAGUUAUACACUGGAGGCAGCAACUAGAAAAGCUUAUCUGCAGGCAGAGGAAACAAAAGCUCAAAUCCCAGCUCUGCAAAUGUAGUGGUCCUGUGCCUGUGGGAAGUCACCUGACCUCCCUGGCAUUCAUCUGCCCCUUGGGAAGAGGAAGUAGUUAUCCCACUAUGGGGGCAGUGAAUAAGCACAAGUUCACGGACACUUGUCAAUAACGUUUUUGGUCUUCUGCUGUCCUGUCCAUGAAGCUGAGCUUCGGCAGCUGCUAGUAAGGCAGGACAGCCAGACAGAUUCGGCACAAUCACAGGUUUGGAGAGUCAACUCAGGGCAGGCAACAAGUGGCUCUUAGUGAAUGUCUGAUAACAAAUGACCAGCUAUAUCCCCAGGUCCUGCCUGCUCCCUUUCAUGCACUUUACCAAUGUUGAAGUGAGAAUGUAUGUAUAGGCUUUUAAUAAAAACUAUUUACUUAAAAAAGUUCACUUACAGGAGUUCCCAUCGUGGCUCAGCAGAAACGAACCUGACUAGUAUCCAUGAGGACGUGGGCUGGAUCCUAGGCCUCCCUCAGUGAGUUAAGAACCCGGCAUUGCCGUGACCUGCAGUGUAGGUCGAAGACGUGGCUCAGAUCCUGUGUUGCUGUGGCUGUGGCGUAGGCUGGCGGAUACAGCUCAGAUUCAACUCCUAGCCUGGGAACUAUGCUGCCCUAAAAAGACCAAAAAAGAAAAAAAUUUUUUUUUCACUUACAAUAUCAUCUAGCUGCAGACAGACAGGAUCCUCGUCUCUCCCAAACCUGAGAACCAACACCUUCUCUGCAGUACUUUUUAUUGCCUGGUCUACUUCCUUUUUGCUGCUCAGCUUGGGUAACAGGAAGCUCAUGUUGAAAUAACCCAAAUAUCAAUCCUCACUGUCAGUCCUGAAAUAAAGCUGUGAUAUUUAAAGAGAAAGUAAAAUGCAUAAGUCCCAAUUUAAAUUAUUUUCAUUAUUGGAGUAGGUAUCAUAUUUUUUUUCCAGAGGAAAAAAGGUUUCAUACAACAUAUUAAAAAAGUAGAAGAAGCACAUAAAUGUGUAAACUGGUGGCAAGUCCAUUGUUUAAAAAGAGACUACAGAAAAAGGAGUCUUGGAGUUCAUGUCGUGGCGCAAUGGAAACGAAUCCAAUUAAGAACCAUGAGGUUGCAGGUUCGAUCCUUGGCCCCACUCAGUGGGUUAAGGAUCUGGCGUUGCCAUGAGCUGUGGUGUAGGUCGCAGACUCGGCUUGGAUCUGGCGUUGCUGUGGCUGUGGUGUAGGCCGCAGACUCGUCUUGGAUCUGGCGUUGCUGUGGCUGUGGUGUAGGCCAGCAGCUGUAGCUCCGAUACGACCCUUAGCCUGGGAACCUCCAUAUGCCGCAGUAAAUAGUUACCAGGUAACUACUUCAAUUAAUGUCUUCAGAAUCUUCCAGGGUUUUGUUACACAUUCACAAGAAAACACCAGCAUGUGUUCUUACGUUUUAUCCCUUUUUCACCCCAAAGAUAGCAUAUUCCAGCAGUCAGUAUUCCAGAAGGAAAGAGCGGACACCUUCAAACUUGGUAAUCAGAAGCCUCUCAUUAAGGCAGGGGACAGGAAACCAGUAGGUGUAGUGCAGUACCCUGGGCUAGAAACAGCGACAGUGCGAGCAGUUCUAGAACUGCGUGGCUGAUAUUGCUGAACGGAGAGGGCCGCUAUCCAGGAUGUCAGGCUGCAGCUAAAGGACGCAGCCACUCUCCUCCCGCCCUCUGCUCACCUGCUAAUGCUUCCAAUGGUGAUUCCAAUUGGAACAAAGAGGGUAGGGGAGCUGCAGAGGCCAACAAGCCUCCUUGUCCAGGGCAGUUUAGAGAAGGGGAAAGAGUGGAUAGAAGGGGCACACGGCAGACGUCCAGCACACAUAGUCUACCCACUCCUCUGUACUUUGAACUUGACCUCACAUAUGAAGAUCUUCUCUUAUCUCUAAGCAGAAAACCCACACAUUCUUUGUCAUAGCAGCAUGCUGUGUCAGGCAUGUUCACUGAGGGCCAUUUGUACCAUCAUGACUCCUGGCUUAAAGAUUUUGGUAUAUCACAUCACAUGGCAAAUGGACAAACUGAGAGUGUGUAAAAACGACACACACACCAAACUGUAAAAUACAGAGAGAUGGGGCCCCUCGUUUUCAUACCAGUUUGCUCAUACUUACACUUCCAGCUACAAGCACAAGGACUAGAACCCAUGCUGCCAAAUGUCUAGUCCAGACUUAUUUUUACUUAUAUCUUACCACAAGUCUUAUUUUUAUGAUUGAGAAAUUCUUUAAUCAAUUUUUUCCCCUUUUUCUCUUUUUGCCUUUUCUAAGGCCGCUCCCGUGGCAUACAGAGGUUCCCAAGCUAGGGGUCUAAUCGGAGCUGUAGCCACCGGCCUACACCAGAGCCAUAGCAACUCGGGAUCUGAGCGCGUCUGCGACCUACACCACAGGUCACGGCUUAACCCACUGAGCGAGGCCAGGGAUCAAACCCACAACCUCAUGGUUCCUAGUCGGAUUCGUUAACCACUGCGCCACAAGGGGAACUCCCAAUCAAUGAGUUUUUUUUGUUUUGUUUUUGUUUUUUGCUGCACGUGCGGCAUGCGGAAGUUCUGGGGCCAGGCACCUGAGCCACUGCAGUGACAAUGCCAGAUCCUUAAUCCUUAAACUUCUGAGCCAACCGCAAUUCCAAGGAGCUUUACUUUUGAUCCAUCCAUGAUAAACUCCAUUGAGAUACCUGGUAUUUUAAGUUCAGUUCCAAAGUUGUCUAAUGCUAUGAAAAAAGAGGACUUCCUUCCCUCCCUCUCUCUUAUGUGACAAGCAGCAUUUUAAGAUAUGAAUUACUAAAAUUCGCAUAAGAAAUGGAACUGUUCCAGUCAUGAGCCAUAUUUUAAAUAGGGAAGCUGAUUGCCAGAAGGUACUUCAUCAAACAGGAAUGGCAGAACAAAUUCUGAGAGGGAAAGGGGAAAGCUAAAGAAAAGAUGGAUCUGUCGAACCACUAGAAUUCAACCAAACAGCAAUUUCUGCGUGUUACUGAUAAAAAGAGGAGGAAAUGGCAGGAGAGCAAAGUUGUCAUCAGAGUGAGUGGGGAGGUGAGGGUGUGAGAGUGGAAUUGAAUAAAUGUUGAAAAAAGGAAAGGGAAAUUGAGACCACACCUAAGAAAAUGUCUAUAGCAAAGGAUAAAAACAAGGAAUUCAGAAAGAAGACAGACGAGAAAAAAAAAAAUUUGGAAAGUUUCACUGCUAAGUAAAGAAAAGCAAAUUAAAAGAUGUAUUUUAGGAGUUCCCACUGUGGCACAGCGGAAAUGAAUCCAACUAGCAUCCAUGAGGAUGUGGAUUUGAUCCCUGGCCUCUCUCAGUGGGGUGGGGGGGAAUCUGGCCUUGCGUCAGCUCUGGUGUAGGCCAGCAGCUGUAGCUCUGAUUUGACUCCUACCCUGAGAACUUCCAUAUGCUGUGGGUGUGGCCACAAAAAGUAGAAAAAAAAAAGUUAUAUUUUAAAAAGCCAUUAAACUGGCAAAGAUUAAAUGAUAAAGGCAAGAAUGUCAGUGAAGGGACAGGCUUCAUAGUCCCCCCUAGAAAACAGAGAACAAACCUUGUCUAGAAAGAAACCUGAAAUACAACUCCAUCUCUGAGAAUUAUUUCCUAGUAAAUAACCAGACAUACGCAGAAAGAUUUAUGUAAAAAGGAUAUUUGUCACGUUUUUAACAGUGAAAAACUGGAAACAACUUACACUGCCAUCGGUAGGAGAAUCGUGAAAUGAAGGAUGGCAGUCCUGUAACAUACUAACACACUGUCACUACAUAUUGCGUUAUAGAUUAACAAUUCAGAUACGUGAAAAAUCCUCGUAAUAAAGAAAAAAGUCAUAAAACAGUAGUAUACAAAGGGUGAUUCCGCUUUUGUACAAAACCUAACUAUAAUGCAAAUAUACAUAUUCACAUAGGAAAUAACUAAAAAUGAAUAUCCUCAAACACCCUCAGUGGUUUUCACUGCGUGUGAACUUACGAGUGACUUUUACUCACACUGGGGUGCACGUCUUCAUUUUUCCAAUAUCCCCGACAUACCUAUUUUUUAUGAUGCCAGUGGCUGGACUACUCCUGGCCCACAAGUGCCGGGGAAAAAUGAUACUUUAUUUGCACGUCAUCUUCCUCGCCAGCACUUCAAGGCUUUCGGCAACCCUGACACUUUCUCCAAAAAGCCGCGACGCCGGCGACUCCUUUCUUCUUCCGCAACCGCGGCGGCGACCCUAAACCAGAGUAACCCAGGGGCUGUUGCCAAAUAACUCUCGGCCGACCUCUUAAGUGGACGGAAACGGAAAAAGAAAACGCACAAACGCAGUGAUUAACGCGCGGUCUGUUCAGUUCAGCAGCCCAAUAAGCGG